RNAcentral lists this ribosomal RNA (521 nucleotides) under uncultured Armatimonadota bacterium. RNAcentral's name for it is "bacterial SSU rRNA". It matches the Rfam family "Bacterial small subunit ribosomal RNA", at positions 8 to 526 of the family's 1533-position model. Lineage: Bacteria; Bacillati; Armatimonadota. The record is from RNAcentral.
AGAGUUUGAUCCUGGCUCAGGACGAACGCUUGCGGCGUGCCUAAGAAAUGCAAGUCGAGCGAGGUUUAGGCUUCGGCCGACGACCUAGCGGCGAACGGUCGCGUAACACGUAAGCAACCUGCCCUAAAGUUGGGGAUAGCCCGCCGAAAGGCGGAUUAAUACCGAAUGUGGAUAUGUAUUCGCAUGUAUAUAUAUCUGAAGCAGCGAUGCGCUUUAGGAUGGGCUUGCGGCCUAUCAGUUAGUUGGUGUGGGUAACGGCCUACCAAGACGACGACGGGUAGCUGGUCUGAGAGGAUGGUCAGCCGGAUUGGGACUGAGACACGGCCCAGACUCCUACGGGAGGCAGCAGUGGGGGAUUUUGCACAAUGGGCGCAAGCUUGAUGCAGCGACGCCGCGUGAGGGAUGAGGGCCUUCGGGUUGUAAACCUCUUUCGCUGGGUUGAAAGGCCAUGCUUUGGGUGUGGUUGAUUUGAACUGGUAAAGAAGUACCGGCUAACUACGUGCCAGCCGCCGCGGUAAUAC